Pomacea canaliculata is the source of this 918-nucleotide long non-coding RNA. RefSeq lists it as uncharacterized. Lineage: Eukaryota; Metazoa; Mollusca; Gastropoda; Architaenioglossa; Ampullariidae. The transcript has 4 exons. The record is from RefSeq and is a predicted model, not a curated record.
UAAGGAGUAGCAAUGCAUUCUCUUAACUCAUUAUAUUGGAGUUGAUUUUGUGGUCUGUACCAGUGAUACAGACUACAUCACAGCGAACAGUGACAGAGUAGGCGAUACACUGUCAACAUUUAUUCUCAUCCUUUUGUUUAUCUUCUCUACAUCAGACACUGGCGUCAAUAGUCCCGUACUCCGUGAAGACAUUAACAGUUUCCACCUCUCUCAGGUAACACCUGUUGCAUGAUUCGUACCCAACUUUCAGUCUUUAAAUAGUUAAAGUCCUGGACAACUAGGUCCACUACGUGGUCUUCAACAAUUGUUGACAAACAUUUUUACUUUUUUUUUAUUUUCCUGACAAAUCAACAUAAAAGGAAUGAGCAGAACUCGCCCUCCAAUGUACGUGGAAAUUUUGUGCGAAGUAAGGCAAAGUGUUGCAGACUACAUCACAACGAACAGUGACAGAGUAGGCGAUACACUGUCAACAUUUAUUCUCAUCCUUUUGUUUAUCUUUCCUGCAUCCAGACACUGGCGUCAAUAGUCUUGUACUGUCUGAACACAGUCGCUGUUUCCACCUCUCACAGCUUACAGGAAAGCAUUCACUUUGCAAAGCUGUGGACAUCGGACUCACAGGUAAAUCUUGUUACACGUUUACUCUCUAAGACGAGAACGUUGUUACCUGAGUACUAUGCACGUAGGUGACAGUAGGUGACACUUAUCCUCUGUACUCUUUCAUUAACAAAUUUAUAAAAGGUACACAUUAUCUCAGUAAAAAUAUCAAGGAAUCACACAGCUUAGAGAAAGAUGCUGCAAAGCUUUUCGUGUUACUGAUACUUUUAGUGUUACAACAGUGUUUAUUUAACUUUAAACCACUGGAUUAUUCUUUCAACGGCAUUUUUCACUAGUGUUUGCAGCUCUUAUUGUUGAAUUCUA